Molecule: unclassified non-coding RNA, 202 nt
Filed under: uncultured Sebacina
Lineage: Eukaryota; Fungi; Basidiomycota; Agaricomycetes; Sebacinales; Sebacinaceae
Description: sequence contains ITS2
Source: RNAcentral
GUACUCUCACACUCCCAAUUGCUUUGGAUUGGGAGCGGUGGACUUGGGUGUUGCGGCUUGACUGUGGCUCACCUGAAAUAUGUUAGUGCACCUCUUGAUUGGACAUAGUACAGCGUGAUAAGUGUCUUCGCUGGCUCCUCGCAAAGAGGGUGGCCGAUCGGGAGCUCUGUUGCUUCAAACUGUCUUCGGACAACAACUGACA